Molecule: ribosomal RNA, 450 nt
Filed under: Lancefieldella rimae
Lineage: Bacteria; Bacillati; Actinomycetota; Coriobacteriia; Coriobacteriales; Atopobiaceae
Description: bacterial SSU rRNA
Rfam family: Bacterial small subunit ribosomal RNA
Source: RNAcentral
GAUGAACGCUGGCGGCGCGCCUAACACAUGCAAGUCGAACGGUUAAAGCACCUUUUAGGUGUGUAUAAAGUGGCGAACGGCUGAGUAACACGUGGGCAACCUGCCCUCCUCUUGGGGAUAGCCUCGGGAAACCGAGGAUAAUACCCGAUACUUCAAUGUGGCCGCAUGACGACAUUGAGAAAGCUUUUGCGGAGAAGGAUGGGCCCGCGGCCUGUUAGCUUGUUGGUGGGGUAGAGGCCUACCAAGGCAAUGAUGGGUAGCUGGGUUGAGAGACCGACCAGCCAGAUUGGGACUGAGACACGGCCCAGACUCCUACGGGAGGCAGCAGUGGGGAAUCUUGCACAAUGGGCGAAAGCCUGAUGCAGCGACGCCGCGUGCGGGACGAAGGCCUUCGGGUUGUAAACCGCUUUCAGCAGGGACGAGGCGAAAGUGACGGUACCUGCAGAAGAA